AUUGCUUCUUGGCUCCUUAGAGCUAAUAUCAAAGUGUUGUGUCUGGUCUUCUUAGUUUAAUAUCUGGUAUGUCCUUGAUGUGAGGACUGUAUAUUAGCUUGAUUUUUGAAAUGGGGUGGGGUUAGAACAGAAACUUGCUUUGUCUGCUCUGUGCAUUGACCUGGUAUUGCAGUGUCUCCAGGAAAGUUGUAUCUUCU
Molecule: small nuclear RNA, 197 nt
Organism: Gopherus agassizii (Agassiz's desert tortoise)
Lineage: Eukaryota; Metazoa; Chordata; Testudines; Testudinidae
Gene: U2
Rfam family: U2 spliceosomal RNA
About the family: U2 is a small nuclear RNA (snRNA) component of the spliceosome (involved in pre-mRNA splicing).
Source: Ensembl